GUGUCCUACGGGACGCAGCAGUGGGGAAUAUUGCACAAUGGGGGAAACCCUGAUGCAGCGACGCCGCGUGAAGGAAGAAGUAUCUCGGUAUGUAAACUUCUAUCAGCAGGGAAGAAAAUGACGGUACCUGACUAAGAAGCUCCGGCUAAAUACGUGCCAGCAGCCGCGGUAAUACGUAUGGGGCAAGCGUUAUCCGGAUUUACUGGGUGUAAAAGGAGCGCAGGCGGCUUGGCAAGUCUGAUGUGAAAGGCUG
RNAcentral lists this ribosomal RNA (253 nucleotides) under uncultured bacterium. RNAcentral describes it as "partial 16S ribosomal RNA". It matches the Rfam family "Bacterial small subunit ribosomal RNA", at positions 334 to 604 of the family's 1533-position model. The record is from RNAcentral.